This is a long non-coding RNA of Homalodisca vitripennis (glassy-winged sharpshooter), 1826 nucleotides long. RefSeq lists it as uncharacterized. The transcript has 2 exons. The record is from RefSeq and is a predicted model, not a curated record. Lineage: Eukaryota; Metazoa; Arthropoda; Insecta; Hemiptera; Cicadellidae.
UCAAAGAAGCAACAACAUUUUCAGAUCCAUCAAUAGUAAUAUUGGAAAAUCCAGCUGUGCAAUGAGUUUUAAACUAGAAACAGGUAAUAGUAGAGUAAAGAAAAGUUGAAGCCAUCCACCAUAGUAAAUUCUCCUAUUUUUCAAUCAACUUAGUUUACAAGGUCAACAUACAUACACAGAAAUACAUGAAGUAUACAUAGUUCAAGAAACAGCACACAUCGGGAGUAAACUCAAAGAUCCAAUAGCAAGAUUGUAUCAAACGAAGACACAUUUUGGGAUGCCAGAAUGAAAUUCCUCAUUCAAGGAACAAAAUCAAUAAACCAAAUUUCUUGUGCUAUUUCAAUAAACACCAGAAGCAGAUAAAUUUCUGUUGUUCCAAGAGGGAAAUCUUGGAAUAAAAUUCCUAGUACAAGUUUAGUGUAAACCACAACAAGACAAGUAUUUCUAAACCAGGAACUAAAUCCACAAACCAAAUUUCCUGUGCUAGUUCCAUAAACGCCAGAAGCAGAUAAAUUUAUGUUGUUCCAAGAGCGAAGUCUUGGAAUGAAAUUCCUCGUACAAGUUUAAUGCACACCACAACAAGACAUAUUUGCUGAACCAGGAACUAAAUCAACAAACCAAAUUUCCUGUGCUAGUUCCAUAAACGCCAGAAGCAGAUAAAUUUCUGUUGUUCCAAGAGGGAAAUCUUGCAAUAAAAUUCCUAGUACAAGUUUAGUGCACACCACAACAAGACAAGUAUUUGCUGUACCAGGAACUAAAUCCACAAACCAAAUUUCCUGUGCUAGUUCCAUAAACGCCAGAAGCAGAUAAAUUUAUGUUGUUCCAAGAGCGAAAUCUUGCAAUAAAAUUCCUAGUACAAGUUUAGUGCACACCACAACAAGACAUAUUUGCUGUACCAGGAACUAAAUCAAUGAACCAAAUUUCCUGUGCUACUUCUAUAAACUCCAGAAGCAGAUAAAUUUAUGUUGUUCUAAGAGCGAAAUCUUGGAAUGAAAUUCCUCGUACAAGUUUAGUGCACACCACAACAAGACAUAUUUGCUGUACCAGGAACUAAAUCAAUGAACCAAAUUUCCUGUGCUACUUCUAUAAACGCCAGAAGCACAUCAAUUUCUGUUGUUCUAAGAGGGAAAUCUUGAAAUGAAAUUCCUAGUACAAGGAAUUAAAUUCCUAGUACACACCACAAGACAAGUUUUUGCUGUACCAAGAACUACAUCGAUGAACCAAAUUUCUUGUGUUUGUUCCAUAAAUGCCAGAAGCAGACAAAUUUCUGUUGUUUCAAGAGCAAAACCUUGGAUUGGAAUUCCUCAUACAAGUUUAGUGCACACCACAACCAAGACAAGCAUUUGUAUAACCAGGAAUGAAAUCGAGGAAUCAAAUUUCUUGUUCUAUUUCAAUAUACGCCAGUAGGAGACAAAUUCUUGAUAUUCCUGUAGCAAAAUCUUGAAUUAAAAUCCUUCUUACAAAUUUACUAAACUUGAAAACAGACACAUUUUCGAGACACAUAAGUUCCAGGACAAAAUCUUGAAAAUAUAUUCAGCAUGCAAGAUCAAAAACAAUGGAAAAAAUCAUUGGUGUUCCAGACAAGUAAAUUUGUAAAAUAAAAUUUGUUGAAGAGGUUCAAUAAACAUUGGAAGAAAUCUAAAUUUGGAUUCCAAAUCUAAUGCAGGACUCCAUAAGUAUUUCAAGUUGAACAUAUAUAACUAAGGAAGAUCAAUUGAACACUGGAAGAAUAUUUGUACAGCUGGAUAGUUCAAAAUUAAUUGUUCAUUGCUUAAUUGUUUCAGUUUUGUUCAUGAAUUCUAUCAAUAAAAAUGUUCUAAAAUGAG